RNAcentral lists this ribosomal RNA (229 nucleotides) under uncultured bacterium. RNAcentral describes it as "partial 16S ribosomal RNA". It matches the Rfam family "Bacterial small subunit ribosomal RNA", at positions 568 to 796 of the family's 1533-position model. The record is from RNAcentral.
UGCGUAGGCGGCUUGAUAAGUCAGAGGUGAAAGGCUACAGCUCAACUGUAGAAUUGCCUUUGAUACUGUCGAGCUUGAAUCAGGUUGAGGUUGGCGGAAUGUGGCAUGUAGCGGUGAAAUGCAUAGAUAUGCCAUAGAACACCAAUUGCGAAGGCAGCUGACUGGACCUGCAUUGACGCUGAGGCACGAAAGCGUGGGGAGCGAACAGGAUUAGAUACCCUGGUAGUCC